Pongo abelii (Sumatran orangutan) is the source of this 148-nucleotide unclassified non-coding RNA. It matches the Rfam family "Metazoan signal recognition particle RNA". Rfam says of the family: The signal recognition particle (SRP) is a universally conserved ribonucleoprotein. It is involved in the co-translational targeting of proteins to membranes. The record is from Ensembl. NCBI's taxonomy places the organism in Eukaryota, Metazoa, Chordata, Mammalia, Primates, Hominidae.
GCCGGGCAUGGUGGCGCGUGCCUGUAAUCCCAGCUACUCAGGAGGCUGAGGCAGGAGAAUCGCUUGAACCCAGGAGGCAGAAGUUGCAGUAAGCUGAGAUCGCACCACAGAACUCCAGCCUGGGUAACAGAGUGAAACUCUGCCUCAA